UACGUAGGGUCCGAGCGUUGUCCGGAAUUAUUGGGCGUAAAGAGCUCGUAGGCGGUGUGUCACGUCGGCCGUGAAAACCUGCAGCUUAACUGUGGGCGUGCGGUCGAUACGGGCAUCACUGGAGUUCGGCAGGGGAGACUGGAAUUCCUGGUGUAGCGGUGAAAUGCGCAGAUAUCAGGAGGAACACCGGUGGCGAAGGCGGGUCUCUGGGCCGAUACUGACGCUGAGGAGCGAAAGCGUGGGGAGCAAACAGG
Molecule: ribosomal RNA, 254 nt
Filed under: uncultured bacterium
Lineage: Bacteria
Description: partial 16S ribosomal RNA
Rfam family: Bacterial small subunit ribosomal RNA
Source: RNAcentral